CACAGAAAAUAACUAAAGGUUAUACAGUCACUGAAGGUUGACACUUCACAGUAACAACAUUAUCUUGUUAUCUUGUAUACUUAUUUCAUCUAGUAAAUUGUACUUGAUAACACUUUUACACACAAAAAUAGUUUGAACAAUCGAUGAUAGCAAAAAGACAUCAUUCACAUCCUUUUAAUCACGAGACAUUGCAAAUGCCGUCUAUGUCACUGCUAUCCCUGAAGUUGUUUGAUCCAGUGUAACAGAUAAGAGGAAUCAGACGUUUGGAAGAAAAGGAAUCGUGACAACGAAAAAAGUUUCCAACACAAUCAAUGACGAUCUGAUCCCUGGGAGAGAAACAAAGCGAAAACACGAAAACAAAGAGAACCAAGUAGUUCAUUCACAAAGAGAUGUAGUUUUAUUUCCAGAAUAGAACUCUUUUUUUUUUGUCUGCUUUGUCGUGCGCAGCAAGACGUUUGUAAGCUUACUGAGUGGGUUGACUUUGUAAAUGGGUGAGUAAGUGGGUGGGUUGAAUUAGUGAAUGGGAUGGAUGAAUGAGUGGGUUGGCCUAAACUGCCAUAGAGCCUAGAUUGAUCUUUUCUUGAGCUAAUUUAGAUAUACAUUGAUUUUUUUAAAAAUUAAAAACUCUCCUUACAUUUUAAAUACGUGGUCCAAAGACACCAAACAAGUAGAUUAAAAAAAAAAGUUUUAAUGAAUAUUACAACAUAAUAAAAAGUCUAAAAUAUUUUCUCAGAACUUUUGAUUUUAUCAAAGGGCGUAGGUGGGAAUCGAUGUAGACAAAAAUCUACACACACACACACAGAGAAUGAGAAAGAAAGACAAAAAGAGAGA
Molecule: long non-coding RNA, 831 nt
Organism: Biomphalaria glabrata
Lineage: Eukaryota; Metazoa; Mollusca; Gastropoda; Planorbidae
Exons: 3
Source: RefSeq, a predicted model, not a curated record